AGCGAACGCUGGCGGCAGGCCUAACACAUGCAAGUCGAACGAACUCUUCGGAGUUAGUGGCGUACGGGUGAGUAACACGUGGGAACGUGCCUUUAGGUUCGGAAUAACUCAGGGACACUUGUGAUAAUACCGAAUGUGCCCUUCGGGGGAAAGAUUUAUUGCCUUUAGAGCGGCCCGAGUCUGAUUAGCUAGUUGGUGAGGUAAAGGCUCACCAAGGCGACGAUCAGUAGCUGGUCUGAGAGGAUGAUCAGCCACAUUGGGACUGAGACACGGCCCAAACUCCUACGGGAAGCAGCAGUGGGGAAUCGUGCGCAAUGGGCGAAAGCCUGACGCAGCCAUGCCGCGUGAAUGAUGAAGGUCUUAGGAUUGUAAAAUUCUUUCACCGGGGACGAUAAUGACGGUACCCGGAGAAGAAGCCCCGGCUAACUUCGUG
This 433-nucleotide ribosomal RNA is filed under the name uncultured bacterium. Its description in RNAcentral is "partial 16S ribosomal RNA". It matches the Rfam family "Bacterial small subunit ribosomal RNA", at positions 29 to 507 of the family's 1533-position model. The record is from RNAcentral.